CCCGCUGAACUUAAGCAUAUCAAUAAGCAGGAGGACAAGAAACUAACAAGGAUUCGCUUACUAACUGCUAGUGAAGAGGGAAAAGCUCACAUUUAAAAUCUGGCCCUGUUUCAAUGUCCGAGUUGUAACCUACAGAAGUGUAACCUGCGCUGGACCGUGUAUUAGUCUCCUGGAAUGAAGCAUCACAGACGGUGAGAAUCCCGUCUUUGACAUGAUACCACCGGUGCAUUGUGGUUGUGCUCUCAACGAGUCGAGUUGUUUGGGAAUGCAGCUCUCAACGGGUGGUAAAUUCCAUCUAAAGCUAAAUAUUGGCGAGAGACCGAUAGCGAACAAGUACCGUGAGGGACAGAUGAAAAGAACUUUGGAAAGAGAGUUAAACAGUAUGUGAAAUUGUUGAAAGGGAAACGUUUGAAGUCAGUCGCGUUGGUUGGGGAUCAGCCUGACAUUGUUGGGUUUACUUCUUUGUCGAUGGGCCAACAUCAGUUUCGGCUGCCAGAAAAAGGCCAAAGGACUGUGGCACCUUCGGGUGUGUUAUAGCCAUUGGUCGUAUAUGGUGGUUGGGACUGAGGAAAGCAGCGUGCCGAAAGGCCGGGUGUCGACCACGUUCACGCUGAGGAUGUUGGCAUAAUGGCUUUAAGCGACCCGUCUUGAAACACGG
Molecule: ribosomal RNA, 658 nt
Filed under: uncultured fungus
Lineage: Eukaryota; Fungi
Description: eukaryotic LSU rRNA
Rfam family: Eukaryotic large subunit ribosomal RNA
Source: RNAcentral